Molecule: ribosomal RNA, 477 nt
Filed under: uncultured organism
Description: partial 16S ribosomal RNA
Rfam family: Bacterial small subunit ribosomal RNA
Source: RNAcentral
UACACUCCUGCGGGAGGCAGCAGUGGGGAAUUUUGGACAAUGGGCGCAAGCCUGAUCCAGCCAUGCCGCGUGCGGGAAGAAGGCCUUCGGGUUGUAAACCGCUUUUGUCAGGGAAGAAAAGGUUCUGGCUAAUACCUGGGACUCAUGACGGUACCUGAAGAAUAAGCACCGGCUAACUACGUGCCAGCAGCCGCGGUAAUACGUAGGGUGCAAGCGUUAAUCGGAAUUACUGGGCGUAAAGCGUGCGCAGGCGGUUAUGCAAGACAGAGGUGAAAUCCCCGGGCUCAACCUGGGAACUGCCUUUGUGACUGCAUGGCUAGAGUACGGUAGAGGGGGAUGGAAUUCCGCGUGUAGCAGUGAAAUGCGUAGAUAUGCGGAGGAACACCGAUGGCGAAGGCAAUCCCCUGGACCUGUACUGACGCUCAUGCACGAAAGCGUGGGGAGCAAACAGGAUUAGAUACCCCAGUAGUCCCAUGA